Molecule: ribosomal RNA, 252 nt
Filed under: uncultured bacterium
Lineage: Bacteria
Description: partial 16S ribosomal RNA
Rfam family: Bacterial small subunit ribosomal RNA
Source: RNAcentral
UACGAAGGGGGCUAGCGUUGCUCGGAAUUACUGGGCGUAAAGCGCACGUAGGCGGAUCUUUAAGUCAGGGGUGAAAUCCUGGAGCUCAACUCCAGAACUGCCUUUGAUACUGAGGACCUUGAGUUCGGGAGAGGUGAGUGGAACUGCGAGUGUAGAGGUGAAAUUCGUAGAUAUUCGAAGAACACCAGUGGCGAAGGCGGCUCACUGGCCCGGUACUGACGCUGAGGUGCGAAAGCGUGGGGAGCAAACAGG